This 468-nucleotide ribosomal RNA is filed under the name uncultured bacterium. RNAcentral describes it as "partial 16S ribosomal RNA". It matches the Rfam family "Bacterial small subunit ribosomal RNA", at positions 28 to 507 of the family's 1533-position model. The record is from RNAcentral.
GACGAACGCUGGCGGCGUGCUUAACACAUGCAAGUCGAACGGAAAGGCCCUGCUUUUGUGGGGUGCUCGAGUGGCGAACGGGUGAGUAACACGUGAGUCACCUGCCCUUGACUUUGGGAUAACUUCAGGAAACUGGGGAUAAUACCGGAUAGGAGCUGCUGCUGCAUGGUGGGGGUUGGAAAGUUUCGGAGGUUUGGGAUGGACGCGGGGCUAAUUAGCUUGUUGGUGGGGUAGUGGCUUAGCAAGGCAUUGACGGGUAGCCGGCCUGGGAGGGUGACCGGCCACAUUGGGACUGAGAGACGGCCCAGACUCCUACGGGGGGCAGCAGUGGGGAAUAUUGCACAAUGGGCGGAAGCCUGAUGCAGCAGCUCCGCGUGCGGGAUGACGGCCUUCGGGUUGUAAACCGCUUUCGCCUGUGACGAAGCGUGAGUGACGGUAAUGGGUAAAGAAGCACCGGCUAACUACGUG